GACGAACGCUGGCGGCGUGCCUAAUACAUGCAAGUAGGACGCACAGUCCAUACCGUAGCUUGCUACACCAUAGGCUGUGAGUUGCGAACGGGUGAGUAACGCGUAGGUAACCUGCCUAUUAGAGGGGGAUAACUAUUGGAAACGAUAGCUAAUACCGCAUAACAGUAUGUAACACAUGUUAGAUGCUUGAAAGAUGCAAUUGCAUCGCUAGUAGAUGGACCUGCGUUGUAUUAGCUAGUAGGUAGGGUAAUGGCCUACCUAGGCGACGAUACAUAGCCGACCUGAGAGGGUGAUCGGCCACACUGGGACUGAGACACGGCCCAGACUCCUACGGGAGGCAGCAGUAGGGAAUCUUCGGCAAUGGGGGGAACCCUGACCGAGCAACGCCGCGUGAGUGAAGAAGGUUGUCGGAUCGUAAAGCUCUGUUGUUAAGGAAGAACGAGUGUGAGAAUGGAAAGUUCAUACUGUGACGGUACUUAACCAGAAAGGGACGGCUAACUACGUG
Molecule: ribosomal RNA, 505 nt
Filed under: uncultured bacterium
Lineage: Bacteria
Description: partial 16S ribosomal RNA
Rfam family: Bacterial small subunit ribosomal RNA
Source: RNAcentral